Long non-coding RNA from Oxyura jamaicensis (ruddy duck), 2014 nucleotides. RefSeq lists it as uncharacterized. The transcript is spliced from 2 exons. The record is from RefSeq and is a predicted model, not a curated record. NCBI's taxonomy places the organism in Eukaryota, Metazoa, Chordata, Aves, Anseriformes, Anatidae.
AUCUUGGGAAGGUGCAGCACGGCCGGCGGCGGCGCGGCGCCAUCUUGGGGCAGUCGGGACGCGGCGGCCCGGCAGCGCCGUAAGCGGGCCGGGGGCUGCUGGGGGUCGCCUGGAGCCCGGCGCGUUGUGCUCUGCGGGCAGCGACAGCCUCCAGCCUUGUUAUUUUUUCAUCUUUUGUUCUGAGCUUAGCCUCGGGACAAAGCCAGCAGGCACGAAGCUUGUCAGUUGUGUUCUGUUCCGGUGUUGUUAACUCUGCUCAAGUGCAAGUUCUUCCUGUCACACAGAAGGAUGCCCCUGUAGGCUUUUCCAAACCAAGCUCUGCCGCUGUCGGCUGCUGCGUCACUAGCAGGAUGAAAACUUGGUGCCGAGAUCCUCUGCCUUUUCUAUGCCUUUUGUCAUGUUCUGGCCUCUUUUCCAGCCCUGGGGAUCAGGAAUGUUGGACCUUCCAUCAGGAACUGGUAUUUGUCUUUAAACUGCGAAGUGUUUAGAUGCUUCCGAAGCUUGCUUUCUAUUUCUGUAAAAUGUCCGGUGUCAUGUUCGUGCCCAGGUGCUUGUCAGACUGGUGACGUCCUCUGGGCAGCCAUCAGCCAUGGUGUUGCGGAGGGUCUGCUUGCCAGCUGCUUUCUAACCGAACUAAUGCUGGCCUACAAGACCACAGUAACGUGGCGGAGGGACACUUUUAAUGGUUGUACCCCCUGCUUUCUCCUUGCAGUCUGUCAAUAUUGGUGAGGGGCAGCAGUGUGAAUUUUUUACUGAGUACGUUCAGUUUGUACUCUAGGUGUUCUUCCCAGCUGUGAGAGUUAGAAACAUACCUGCUUUAAAUGAAAAUACCAGCAUGCUGCAGUUACAGCCUCAGUUCAUCGAGCACGUGAAUGGAGCCUUGGAUGACCAGCCCUCCCGACUUACCGCCUGCUUUGAGUAUUUUUCCAUCCAGUCUGAGAAGACAAGGUGCUGCCGUCUGUCGGUCGGUAGCCUCUCCUUGGGAAGGGUUUGGUUACCUGUGCCUCGGAGCAGAGCGCCUGGGGGAGCUUGUCAGCAAAAAGAGGGUGGGCUGCGGGCAGGAGGAGGGCAAGUCCCGCGGAAGGCAGUAACGCUUCAGCCUGAUUUGCUUUUUCUCUGUAGCUCUCCAGUGCCCGCUAGUGAUGUGACAUCUGUGGGACUGUGGCUACAAGUCCCCGCAGCUGGGAUAUAUUGAUGCCUGAUGCUUUGGAUCCUAGUGACACUGCUGAUGUGCUCCUUUAGUACUGGUUUUCUUUGUUUUAAAAUAAAGUCUUUGUUUUUUCUAGAUAGAUGAAGAAGGGGGCAAUAUAUUUAAAAAGACUACAUUCACUAGAAUGUUUUCAUUCAGAUGCCUUUUAAAAUGUGUUUAAAAUCCACUCAGGAAGAGCGAGGCUUUCUUGAGACCUGUCAAUAGUUUGUCACAUAGUACCUUUAUGCUCCCGGUUCAAACAGCAAAUAUUUAUUUCCCUAUUAGUGAGCGUAGCUUUGUCCAAAUAACUGCAGCUUCCUGUUAAGCUUUCCUCGACCAGACUGUGCCUUUAACUGUUUUAGGAAGAAUGAUGCUGCCUGGAAUUGAACAGGGAUAAUGCAAGUCAUGGAAGGAAAACAAAGCCACCACAACAUUAGUUCUAAUUUGUUUUGGUUAAGCCGUAAUUCAGUGAAAUGCUGAUGCUGGAUGCUCAAAGCAUGAUGCCAUGAAGGAUGUACUUACCCCAACUUCACAGUAUGUAUCAGUUUGCUUCUGAAGACCUCUAAAUUGGAGCAAUAUAUAUAUUUUCCAAGUCUCUGUUCCAGAACAUAAUUUCUUAAACUUUUCAAUCUGUAAUUAUAAAUUGUUUUGUUCACUUUUUUUGCAAUCUGAUCUUGAAGUACUUGUGUUGUCGUCAUUUAUUUGUUUCCUGUGAAGUACUGUUGCUUGACCAGAAGGUGGAUUUGUAAAUCUCAUGCUACUUACCAUAAUUUCGCCAUCUGUAAACAUUGCAGUUGUCAGUGAAUUAAAAAAAAUCUGUCCGUA